GGUAAAUCUAGCUCAUCUGGUAGAGCACUGAUCUGUGGAUUCAGUGGGUUUGGUUCGAGUCCAAAGUUUUACC
RNAcentral lists this transfer RNA (73 nucleotides) under Malassezia japonica. RNAcentral's name for it is "tRNA-His". It matches the Rfam family "tRNA". Rfam says of the family: Transfer RNA (tRNA) molecules are approximately 80 nucleotides in length. Their secondary structure includes four short double-helical elements and three loops (D, anti-codon, and T loops). The record is from RNAcentral. Lineage: Eukaryota; Fungi; Basidiomycota; Malasseziomycetes; Malasseziales; Malasseziaceae.